GAUGAAGAACGCAGCGAAAUGCGAUAAGUAAUGUGAAUUGCAGAAUUCAGUGAAUCAUCGAAUCUUUGAACGCACAUUGCGCCCGCCAGUAUUCUGGCGGGCAUGCCUGUCCGAGCGUCAUUUCAACCCUCGAACCCCUCCGGGGGGUCGGCGUUGGGGAUCGGGAACCCCUAAGACGGGAUCCCGGCCCCGAAAUACAGUGGCGGUCUCGCCGCAGCUUCUCCUGCGCAGUAGUUUGCACAACUCGCACCGGGAGCGCGGCGCGUCCACGUCCGUAAAACACCCAACUUUCUGAAAUGUUGACCUCGGAUCAGGUAGGAAUACCCGCUGAACUUAAGCAUAUCAAUAAGCGGAGGA
Molecule: unclassified non-coding RNA, 357 nt
Filed under: soil metagenome
Description: partial contains 5.8S ribosomal RNA, internal transcribed spacer 2, and large subunit ribosomal RNA
Rfam family: 5.8S ribosomal RNA (bases 1-120)
Source: RNAcentral